This 250-nucleotide ribosomal RNA is filed under the name uncultured bacterium. RNAcentral describes it as "partial 16S ribosomal RNA". It matches the Rfam family "Bacterial small subunit ribosomal RNA", at positions 367 to 610 of the family's 1533-position model. The record is from RNAcentral.
GACAUGGGCGCAAGCCUGAUCCAGCCAUGCCGCGUGUGUGAAGAAGGCUCUAGGGUUGUAAAGCACUUUCAGUAGGGAGGAAGGCCAGAGUGUUAAUAGCGCUUUGGAUUGACGUUACCUACAGAAGCAGCACCGGCUAACUCCGUGCCAGCAGCCGCGGUAAUACGGAGGGUGCAAGCGUUAAUCGGAAUUACUGGGCGUAAAGCGCGCGUAGGCGGUUUGUUAAGUGUGAUGUGAAAGCCCAGGGCUC